UCCGUAGGCGGUGUGGCAAGUCGGAAGUGAAAUCUCUGGGCUUAACCCAGAGGCUGCUUCCGAAACUGCCGUGCUAGAGUGUGAGAGAGGCGAGUGGAAUUGCGGGUGUAGCGGUGAAAUGCGUAGAUAUCCGCAGGAACAUCCGAGGCGGAAGCGGCUCGCUGGAUCACAACUGACGCUGAGGGACGAAAGCUAGGGGAGCAAACAGGAUUAGAUACCCUGGUAGUCCUAGCCCUAAACCAUCAGGACUUGGGGUUUGCCCUGUACGGGGCAAGUCCCGUAGCUAACGCGUUAAGUCCUGCGCCUGGGGAGUACGGUCGCAAGGCUGAA
Molecule: ribosomal RNA, 330 nt
Filed under: uncultured bacterium
Lineage: Bacteria
Description: bacterial SSU rRNA
Rfam family: Bacterial small subunit ribosomal RNA
Source: RNAcentral